This 213-nucleotide unclassified non-coding RNA is filed under the name Hevea brasiliensis (rubber tree). The record is from RNAcentral. Lineage: Eukaryota; Viridiplantae; Streptophyta; Magnoliopsida; Malpighiales; Euphorbiaceae.
AUGCCUAACUGGGAUUCGGUAGGGUGGAGUGCCAUGAUAGGUGGUUAUGUGAGAUGGGGUUUGUCUAGUGAGGCUGUAGGGUUGUUUAGAGAAAUGCAGGUUGUUGGGAUAGAACCUGAUGAAGUUACGAUGGUUUGUUUGUUGUCUGCCUGCAUAGAUUUGGGUGCGCUUGAGCUAGGGAAGUGGCUCGAGGCAUAUAUCGAGAGGGAGAAU